This 900-nucleotide long non-coding RNA is filed under the name Rattus norvegicus (Norway rat). Its description in RNAcentral is "long non-coding RNA NONRATT020840". The record is from RNAcentral. Lineage: Eukaryota; Metazoa; Chordata; Mammalia; Rodentia; Muridae.
GUGGGGUUCGGGGAAGGCCAGCCCGCGGUCACGCCGGCUGUGGGAAGGGAAAGUGGGCUCCCCGGGCUACUGUUUCCGGGUGCUCGGGGCGUGGGCCGAGCGGGGAUCGGACCGGGGAUCUGGAGGGCUUCCGGAAGCGCCGUGGGCGCUCGGCAGGCGGGAGUUGAGGACCAGGCCGGCCUCGCGGUUGACUCGCUCAGCGGAGGCCCCACCGCGAGCGCGCCUGUGGGGGUUUCCAUGGUGACAGUAAACAAGCCUCAACUGCCUCAGCUACAACUGCCAAGUCCCCGGGGUUCCACCCUCCUCUAGGUGCUCUGAGGGCCGGCGAGGUUCCGGAUGUGAGUAGGAGCGUGGAGACGAGAAGCCCGAGGUUGAGAACAAAAAGAAGAUGCACCUGGACUUUCCCCGGAGCCCUCUGCGUUUUUAAGGCGUCGGGUGGAGUUGGGGUUCGUAAGCCGCGUUCGUUAUUGAAAAUAGAAGUCACUUCUACCUUCCUCCCGUGGAAAACUUGUUAUCUUCCAUUCUGUGUUUCCUACAGAAGGCAUCUGUGGUGGUUCUUUAAGGUAAGCUACUAAAAGAUACAUUUAACUGUAAGACGAUUAAUUUGUUAAGCAAAGUUUAGUUUUCUUUGAAGAACUGUCAGUUUUAAAUGCUUGGUGAGUUUACAGUUAAGUCAAACUAAAGAACUAUGAACUUCUUGGGGGGGUGAGUAAAAGCAAGCUGUAGGUGUUGGUUGACAUGUUACAGAAAAGAAUGCUUUCUUCCCCUGUUGCUGAAACUGCUUAUAAAGUACUUGUUCCUUAUGCUUCUUACAUGUUUUUAGCUUUGACUAAGCUGCUAUACUCUGAAGGAAGGUGUUGACCCUAGGUGGACAGUAAAUCCCUAGCUAAUCCUUGACCU